GGACAAUCUACCCUGCGGAGGGGGAUAACCCCGGGAAACUGGGGAUAAUACCCCAUAGACUAUGGAAGCUGGAAUGCUCUGUAGCCGAAAGGUCCGCCGCCGCAGGAUGAGUCUGCGGCCGGUUAGGUUGUUGUUGGGGUAACGGCCCAACAAGCCUGUAAUCGGUACGGGUUGUGGGAGCAAGAGCCCGGAGAUGGAUUCUGAGACACGAAUCCAGGCCCUACGGGGCGCAGCAGGCGCGAAAACUUUGCAAUGCGGGAAACCGUGACAAGGGAACUCCGAGUGCCCGUAAAUUCGGGCUGUCCGCCAGUCCAAAAAACUGGUGAAGAAAGGGCCGGGCAAGACCGGUGCCAGCCGCCGCGGUAAUACCGGCGGCUCGAGUGGUGGCCACUAUUACUGGGCUUAAAGCGUUCGUAGCUGGCCUGUUAAGUCUCUGGGGAAAUCUUCCGGCUUAACCGGAAGGCGUCUCAGGGAAACUGGCAGGCUAGGGACCGGAAGAGGUGAGGGGUACUCCAGGGGUAGGAGUGAAAUCCUGUAAUCCUUGGGGGACCACCUGUGGCGAAGGCGCCUCACCAGAACGGCUCCGACAGUGAGGAACGAAAGCUGGGGGAGCAAACCGGAUUAGAUACCCGGGUAGUCCCAGCUGUAAACGAUGCGCGUUAGGUGUAUCGGUGACCACGAGUCACCGAGGUGCCGAAGGGAAACCGUGAAACGUGCCGCCUGGGAAGUACGGUCGCAAGGCUGAAACUUAA
Molecule: ribosomal RNA, 752 nt
Filed under: uncultured archaeon
Lineage: Archaea
Description: bacterial SSU rRNA
Rfam family: Archaeal small subunit ribosomal RNA
Source: RNAcentral